RNAcentral lists this ribosomal RNA (609 nucleotides) under uncultured bacterium. Its description in RNAcentral is "bacterial SSU rRNA". It matches the Rfam family "Bacterial small subunit ribosomal RNA", at positions 9 to 605 of the family's 1533-position model. The record is from RNAcentral.
GAGUUUGAUCCUGGCUCAGGAUGAACGCUGGCGGCGUGCUUAACACAUGCAAGUCGAACGGAGAUGUUGCAGCAGAAGCGAAUAGCUUGCUAUGAGUGGAAACAGUGGCAUCUUAGUGGCGGACGGGUGAGUAACGCGUGGGCAACCUGCCCUGCACUGGGGGAUAACACUUAGAAAUAGGUGCUAAUACCGCAUAAUAAAAUAUAUUGCAUGAUAUAUUUUUGAAAGCUGCGGCGGUGCAGGAUGGGCCCGCGUCUGAUUAGCCAGUUGGCGGGGUAACGGCCCACCAAAGCGACGAUCAGUAGCCGGCCUGAGAGGGUGGACGGCCACAUUGGGACUGAGACACGGCCCAAACUCCUACGGGAGGCAGCAGUGGGGGAUAUUGGACAAUGGGGGGAACCCUGAUCCAGCGACGCCGCGUGAGUGAAGAAGUAUUUCGGUAUGUAAAGCUCUAUCAGCAGGGAAGAAAAGAAUGACGGUACCUGAAUAAGAAGCCCCGGCUAACUACGUGCCAGCAGCCGCGGUAAUACGUAGGGGGCAAGCGUUAUCCGGAUUUACUGGGUGUAAAGGGAGCGCAGACGGCAAUGCAAGCCUGGAGUGAAAGGCGGG